RNAcentral lists this ribosomal RNA (497 nucleotides) under uncultured bacterium. RNAcentral's name for it is "partial 16S ribosomal RNA". It matches the Rfam family "Bacterial small subunit ribosomal RNA", at positions 28 to 507 of the family's 1533-position model. The record is from RNAcentral.
GAUGAACGCUGGCGGCGUGCCUAAUACAUGCAAGUCGAGCGAACGGACGUGAAGCUUGCUUCUCUGAUGUUAGCGGCGGACGGGUGAGUAACACGUGGAUAACCUACCUAUAAGACUGGGAUAACUUCGGGAAACCGUAGCUAAUACCGGAUAAUAUUUUGAACCGCAUGGUUCAAAAGUGAAAGACGGUCUUGCUGUCACUUAUAGAUGGAUCCGCGCUGCAUUAGCUAGUUGGUAAGGUAACGGCUUACCAAGGCAACGAUGCAUAGCCGACCUGAGAGGGUGAUCGGCCACACUGGAACUAAGACACGGUCCAGACUCCUACGGGAGGCAGCAGUAGGGAAUCUUCCGCAAUGGGCGAAAGCCUGACGGAGCAACGCCGCGUGAGUGAUGAAGGUCUUCGGAUCGUAAAACUCUGUUAUUAGGGAAGAACAUAUGUGUAAGUAACUGUGCACAUCUUGACGGUACCUAAUCAGAAAGCCACGGCUAACUACGUG